This 501-nucleotide ribosomal RNA is filed under the name uncultured Chryseobacterium sp. RNAcentral describes it as "bacterial SSU rRNA". It matches the Rfam family "Bacterial small subunit ribosomal RNA", at positions 8 to 507 of the family's 1533-position model. Lineage: Bacteria; Pseudomonadati; Bacteroidota; Flavobacteriia; Flavobacteriales; Weeksellaceae. The record is from RNAcentral.
AGAGUUUGAUCCUGGCUCAGGAUGAACGCUAGCGGGAGGCCUAACACAUGCAAGCCGAGCGGUAGGGAUUCUUCGGAAUCCUGAGAGCGGCGCACGGGUGCGGAACACGUGUGCAACCUGCCUUUAUCUGGGGGAUAGACCUUUCGAAAGGAAGAUUAAUACCCCAUAAUAUAUUGAUUGGCAUCAAUUAAUAUUGAAAACUCCGGUGGAUAGAGAUGGGCACGCGCAAGAUUAGAUAGUUGGUGAGGUAACGGCUCACCAAGUCAAUGAUCUUUAGGGGGCCUGAGAGGGUGAUCCCCCACACUGGUACUGAGACACGGACCAGACUCCUACGGGAGGCAGCAGUGAGGAAUAUUGGACAAUGGGGUGAGAGCCUGAUCCAGCCAUCCCGCGUGAAGGACGACGGCCCUAUGGGUUGUAAACUUCUUUUGUAUAGGGAUAAACCUAGAUACGUGUAUCUAGCUGAAGGUACUAUACGAAUAAGCACCGGCUAACUCCGUG